GAUGAACGCUGGCGGCGUGCCUAAUACAUGCAAGUCGAGACGGUAAGGCUCCUUCGGGAGUACACGAGCGGCGGACGCUGAGUAACACGUAGGAACGUACCCAAACUGAGGAUAAGCACCAGAAAUGGUGUCUAAUACCGCAUGUGAUCUUCGGAUUAAAGCUUCGGCGGUUUGGGAACGGCCUGCGCAUGAUUAGCUUGUUGGUGAGGUAAUGGCUCACCAAGGCUAUGAUCAUUAGCUGGUCUGAGAGGAUGAUCAGCCAGACUGGGACUGAGAACGGCCCAGACUCCUACGGGAGGCAGCAGUAGGGAA
This 312-nucleotide ribosomal RNA is filed under the name uncultured bacterium. RNAcentral describes it as "bacterial SSU rRNA". It matches the Rfam family "Bacterial small subunit ribosomal RNA", at positions 28 to 361 of the family's 1533-position model. The record is from RNAcentral.